CCCUUAGAUGUCCUGGGCCGCACGCGCGUUACACUGAUGCAUUCAACGAGUUUCACCUUGGCCGAGAGGCCUGGGCAAUCUUUUAAACCUGCAUCGUGAUAGGGAUAGAUUAUUGCAAUUAUUAAUCUUGAACGAGGAAUUCCUAGUAAACGCAAAUCAUCAAUUUGCAUUGAUUACGUCCCUGCCCUUUGUACACACCGCCCGUCGCACCUACCGAUUGAAUGGUCCGGUGAAGCCUCGGGAUUGUGGCCAGUUCACUUUAUUGGGAGUUGGCUGUGAGAACUUGUCUAAACCUUAUCAUUUAGAGGAAGGUGAAGUCGUAACA
This 325-nucleotide ribosomal RNA is filed under the name uncultured eukaryote. RNAcentral's name for it is "partial 18S ribosomal RNA". It matches the Rfam family "Eukaryotic small subunit ribosomal RNA", at positions 1470 to 1796 of the family's 1831-position model. The record is from RNAcentral.